AUUAACACACCUUGAAAUAAUACAAACAAUGAACAACCAGACAUUUCACUAUAUUAACACACGGAACUUUACAUUUCUUCCCACAACAACCGGACAUUUCACUCUAUUAACACACCUUGAAAUAGAACAACCAGACAUUUCACUAUAUUAACACACCUUGAAAUAAAACAAACAAUGAACAACCAGACAUUUCACUAUAUUAACACACCUUGAAAUAAAACAAACAA
Limulus polyphemus (Atlantic horseshoe crab) is the source of this 227-nucleotide long non-coding RNA. RefSeq lists it as uncharacterized. Lineage: Eukaryota; Metazoa; Arthropoda; Merostomata; Xiphosura; Limulidae. The record is from RefSeq and is a predicted model, not a curated record. The transcript has 2 exons.